RNAcentral lists this ribosomal RNA (120 nucleotides) under Jaculus jaculus (lesser Egyptian jerboa). The record is from RNAcentral. Lineage: Eukaryota; Metazoa; Chordata; Mammalia; Rodentia; Dipodidae.
GUCUACGGCCAUACCAACCUGAAUGCACCCAAUUUCAUCUGAUCUUUGAAACUAAGCAGGGUCGGGCCUGUGUAGGAAUUGGAUGAGAGAAAUGGCUGUUCAAGAGGUUUUCUGAUGGCU